Molecule: long non-coding RNA, 2368 nt
Filed under: Nicotiana tabacum (common tobacco)
Lineage: Eukaryota; Viridiplantae; Streptophyta; Magnoliopsida; Solanales; Solanaceae
Description: long non-coding RNA (NTAB_LNC007633)
Source: RNAcentral
UAUCUCUAAUCCCGCCUUUUAACCCUUCAUAUUGAUCUCUCACAUACGUUAGGAGUGAUGUUGUUCAACAACUACCUUAUAUGUACCCUCUCUCAAGCAAUAUACACUAAAUAGGCACAGUCAAUUGAUGGUCAUUCAAUCAACAAUAAUAAACACGUAGUUGAACAAGUAGAGAAAUCUAACGGUUCAAUUAUAUAAACACAUAACGAGAAUUUUCUUACAAAAGGUUCCAUCAAAACCCUAGAUAACAAAUUAGCUAUUCAUAAUAGUAUGCAAAACUACAAUACUAGAAUUCAUAACCAAUAAUGAAAAUAGGAAGAAGGAAGUGAAAAACUCGUAGAAGAAUUCUCCUCCUUGUUCCUAGCGUGUUUUUGCCUCCUUGAGUCGAAUCCUCUCUCUAAAAACGUCCACCGUCUCUAAAAAAUAACUUUAACAGGUAUUUAUAAGGUAGGGUUAACAUGUCCACGUCCAAAACUAAGGAGGAAAUAAAAUUGGCUCGGAUAGCAUCGUCGGCGCGAGGCACUGUCUGGGGCACCAAUAUUUCUACGCGAGGCACUGCCUGGUCUACCAAUAUUUCUGCGCCAAUGUUUCUGUGCUAGGCACUGUCUGGGGUGCCAAUGACAGUGCCCUGGACAAUGCCUUGCACUGUCUAUGGCCAUGACUUUUCAUUGCCUUGCACGUCUUCUUUUAUUGCUUCAUUUUGUAGCUCUAAGGUACCAUUUCGUGUAACUUUUUUUCAAUUCAUGUCCAAAUAUUCCUACACGUGUAAUAAGCUCUAUUAAGCACAAUUGUCGCACAAAUUAGCAUCCAAACAACAAGCAAGUAGGGUAAAUAAUGUCAAAAUAUAUGGAUUUAUAGCACGAAAUCACUAAUAGAACUGGUGAUAUGAGUCUAAUCACUAUGAAUUCUAAUUCUUACAUUUGAAAAAAUGUUUGUAAGGCUGACUAUUUGUGCAAAGUUGGAACAGCCUAGAAUAUUGGCACGAGAGAGACUAUAAAUCUUUGGUACGGUCGUUCAAUUCUAGAGAUACCAAUCUUCGAACACUUAUCCAGGGUCCUUUGAAUAGGUUGAAAGACCAAAAAUCCCUUAUCUAUCAUCUUCCAACAUAAUUCUUGGUAUUUUUCUAGCAUUUCUUUUAUCUUACCCUACGAAAUCAUUCAACGAAUCCAUAAUACCCACAUACAACUUCUAUGCCGAUAAAACUUUUUCGGGAUCCUUGUGCUGAUGGGUCUUUUACUAUCCAAUCGGCGUAUGCACUUUACCUCUCCCUUAGUGAAAGUAUUAGUGAUUCCUAUCCAUCAAAAUUGCAACUAGGCAUGAACUGUCUGAAUCUUGAAUAAGAUCAAGUAUUUUUUUUGGCUUCUUUAUGCUAAUAAGCUUGAUCAUACACGAGAAAUUUAAAAAGAGGACAGUCUGGUGCACAAAAUAUUCCGCAGUCAUGUAGGAUCCGUGAAAGGACCGCACCUCAAGGGGAGUAAUAGGCAGCCUACUUUGACGCAAGUAUUAAUGACUAAUUCUACUGCUCGACUUCUGACCUAUAGGUCAUACGGAGAUAACUUUAUCAUAAAUUCUCUUUGCUAGAAAUAUUAUAUCAACUAGUAAUUGCGCUCUUUGUUCUGCCCCUGUUGAGACACUUCAACAUCUCUUUAUUGAAAGCACGUUUAAUGCUCACAUAUGAACAUCCUUAAAUAUUCUCAAUGUUCACAAUUUUGGCCCUGCUAUAUAUCAAGGAAGCCUGCUCAAAGUUUAGCACCGUACCGAUUUCACCAUGAUAAUGGGCUAUUCCCUUCCCACUAAUAUACCCCUCCCGAUUGUUCUUUGGAGCAUCUGGAUUAAUCUAAAUAGAAAUGUUUUUAACAGUACCUCAACCUUCGUCUUCAUCAACGUAUCGUCGUGUAGGUUGCUAAAGUCUUCUUCCUCGCAAAUGUUGUCACCUUUUCUCCUUGGACCAUCACCAUCCAUGUUAAUUGGCAAUUGCCUUAGGAUGAUGUUGUUAAGCUUAACGUAGAUGGUGCGCAUAACAAUAUUACUGGAAAAGGAGGAAUAGGGGAAGUGUUUAGAGCCGUAUAGCUAGUUGGUGUUGGAAAAAAUAAUAUCCCGCACAAGAAUAAUAUCCACGAUAAAUAAUAAUGACACAAGAGAGUAACAAUGACACUAAAUCUUUUAACGGAGUAAAAUACAAUACCCGAGAGGAGCAAUAUAAUACCACUAUAAUAUUACAACUUUGUAGUGUCAAAAGACUACUACGACUCAAAAGAAAUAAACUCUUUAUUUUAAAUAUCUCACCACAAUAUUACUCUCACUCUAUUUUCUCACGGACUAUAAAAUAGUUUGUGGAUUACUCUCACAACUCUAAUACUUCUCUCUU